This 514-nucleotide unclassified non-coding RNA is filed under the name Hevea brasiliensis (rubber tree). Lineage: Eukaryota; Viridiplantae; Streptophyta; Magnoliopsida; Malpighiales; Euphorbiaceae. The record is from RNAcentral.
GUGGAAAUGUGAAAGGGAAAAAGGGUGGAAGAGACCAUAAAGAUAAAGAGGGAAAAAUGAAAGUGUUUAGAAGGGCCAAUACAUACACAUGAUUAAUGGGUAGAGUAAAGAUGAAUAAUGGGCAAGGAAGAAGAGUAACUACUAAUUUAUUAAGCCCAAUCAAAUGUAAACAGUAAUAACAGACCAUAAUAAUUAAGAGUUAGUACGAUAGUGGGUAAGGCUUUAUUUUUUAGUAGGGCCAAUAACCGAAAUUAAAUGUAUUUUUCAUUGAUAUUUUAUGGGGGCAUUGGAGGCAAGAGCCUCCAUUGCCGCCAGUGUGAAUCCGCCCCUGGAUUUGGAUACUCUCGAAUCCAAAGUCUCUCAGUUUUUACCGCUGCCCAAAGCACUAGGCCUUUUUAUAGGACUAACUGUUACCCUUGUUAAGUACUUUGUCUCAUUUAUAUUGGCAGCAUAUAAAGUUUUGGUAGGGCCUUAUGCAUCGUGCAAGCUUCUCAGUCUUGACUUGACAAUUUAC